Molecule: long non-coding RNA, 1589 nt
Filed under: Ananas comosus (pineapple)
Lineage: Eukaryota; Viridiplantae; Streptophyta; Magnoliopsida; Poales; Bromeliaceae
Description: long non-coding RNA (ACOM_LNC007090)
Source: RNAcentral
GUUGGAAUGUUAAAUGGUGUCUGUCGUGAACGAACCGGCCCCGCCGUAGGUUGUUUCUAAGGCGAGUGGUCAUUCAUGGUAGAGAUAAAAUUUGUUUAUGUUUUAUUUUGAAAUUAGGAUUAUAGGUUCAUGACUUCCAACAGACUCAAGAAUCUGUUGUUAAUUACCCCACACUUUCGGUGUUAAAGAAUCCUCGAUUAAGAGACCAAAUAUAAAUGCUGAUAAUAAAAGAGACAAAACAGGCAAAUAAAAUUUUAUUGAUAUGAUUUGCCGUUUACAUGGCUUAAGCAGGGGCAUUCCCCCACUGUCCAUGAAUUUUAUCAGACUAAAUGUCCAAUCUAGAGAAGAAGUUUUGAUUUAUUGAAUCCUAAGUGUAUGUAUUAGGAUUCAGUUGGAUUUGAGAUUGACUAGAUCCUAAGUAUAUGUGUUAAGACUUAGUCGAUCUUAGACUCUAUGUAUUAGAGUCUAAUUGGCUCUAAGUAUAUGUCUUGCAUUAGAGUUCGAUUAUGUCCACCUUGGUUAUAUGUUCCAAGAUGGAAAUGUGACCAGACCUCAGGUAUAUGUAUUGAGGUGGGUCGAAUUACCCGAAAGUAGGGAGUGUCUAAUUCCUGAGUAAAUGUAUCAGGAUUAAUUGAGUUUCACUCUAGUUAUAUGUGCUAGAAUGAAGAUUUGACUAAGCCCUAAGUAUAUGUAUUAGAGGUAGUCGGAUUUGAACUCUAAGUAUAUGUAUUCGAGCUCGAUCGGGUAAAGAUUUCACUCUAGGUAUAUGUGCUAGAGCGAAAGGCUGACUAGACCCUAAGGCCCUGUUUGGUUGGGGAACAAAGAUGGGGAUAAGGGGUUAUCCCCUCCUUGUUCCCCAAACACUAUAUCUAAGGGUGGGAACAAGCUAUUCCCGCCCUUAACGNUAGCUGGUUGGGGCAUGACAGUAGCUAGGAUGUCCUCAGUGAUGGUGCCGAACUGGAUGGUGACACCGGCAGCCUCUAUCUCCAUCAUAGAAGCGGGAAAGCGGAUUUGCGCUGCAUUGACCGUGGUGUUGUUUGAUGCCAUUGCUCUUCAUAUAUAAGACAACAGAUGUCAGUUGUGCAUAUAAAUAUAUUUUGGUCUUUUAUCAGCAUUUAUUAAUUAGGUCUCAAAGAUGGAGGGUGAAGCCAUGUCCCACCGGGCGUGCCAUUUUGUCUGCCCCGAACGAACCAGCCCCGCCGUAGGUUGUUUCUAAGGCGAGUGGUCAUUCAUGGUAGAGAUAAAAUUUGUUUAUGUUUUAUUUUGAAAUCAGGAUUAUAGGUUCAUGGCUUCCAACAGACUCAAGAAUCUGUUGUUAAUUACCCCACACUUUCGGUGUUAAGGAACCCUCGAUUAAGAGACCAAAUAUAAAUGCUGAUAAUAAAAGAGACAAAACAGGCAAAUAAAAUUUUAUUGAUAUGAUUUGUCGUUUACAUGGCUUAAGCAGGGGCAUUCCCCUAUUGUACAUGAAUUUUAUCAGACUAAAUAUCCAAUCUAGCGAAGAAGUUUUGAUUUAUUGAAUCCUAAGUAUAUGUAUUAGGAUUCAGUUGGAUUUGAGAUUGACUAGAUCCUAAGUAUAUGUGUUAAGA